UGUCUCUCUCAAUAUCGCCUCUUUCUCUCAUAAUCGUUCAAAAGGUAUGUCAAAUUUAGUCACUCAAAAGGUUUUUUUCCUGAAUUGCUAUCAAUUUUAGUCAUUUUAUUAUGAUAUGGAUUUGAUUUGAUUUAUUAUGAAUCUGAUUUUAUGAGAAUAACAAUUUGAUUUAUAAUGAUUUUGCCUUUCAGCAAAUUCUCAUCUUCUCUGCAAAUAUCUGCUUUUUUAAUAUUUUUGUUUAGGGUUUAGGGUUCUACAAUGCAUUAUCAGAAGGGCAUGACCAUGUGUGUGUGUUUUAGCGACUGUUUUGGUCAUUUUAGUCAUACUGUGAUUAAUAGUAUUGUCAACAUAAGGAAUACAAACUGUCAUAGAGUGAUUAAUAAAUCAGUCUUUUUUUUUUUUUUAUUUUUGCAAAAUAAUUUCAUAAAUGGAAGAGAAAGUAUUGGCUGACGUCGCCUAUUUUCACGCAUCCUUUCUAUUUUAAACUUUUCCACCUUUAUCUAUUGAAAUAACAUGCACCAUAAAAUAGGAAGACCUGUACUUUAAAACCAUAUAUUAACACAAAGGUUAGCAAGGCCAUCAAUUGUUGUAGGGGACUGCCACCUUUAAAUUGGAGUGAAUCUCAACCAAACAUAACUAAUCUCUGAUCUUUCUCAAUACACCCUUCUAUUCCCACUCUAAGUAAGAUUCAGACUCUGGUACUUUUGGUGCACCAACCAGGGGCAUGGCCGGCUGGACUUUUGGACAUAAGUACAACUCCAAACGUUGUCCAUUCGAGCCAGCAGUCCAACACUCAGCCUCUUUAUUAACAACAUUUUAUUGUUUAUAGUAAGCUUCAGCUAGCCUCUUUAUUAACAACAUUUUAUUGUUUAUAGUAAGCUUCAGCUAGCCUCUUAAACCUUUUAAACCCCUCUAAAUUGUGUUAGAUGAAGGUUAAUAUAAUUAAUUUCUAUUGCACUAUUUCACUACAGUACAAAACGUAUUACUAACAUCAUUACCAAGUAAACUUUGGUAUUUUGAAAUUUCAGUAACUCGGUGUUUUUGGUAGUACUAUAGUAACAUUCAGUUUUGUCGCAUUUGUAUUAAAAGAAUGACAAUGACACUUUUUUUUUCCUCACCAAUAUGUAGCAUAUGUUUUGAAUGGGUAGCUUAACUGUAAAAUGAUGAUUCUUUUUAGUAGCACAACAUCUCACUUUCCUCAAUAUAGCAGAUAUGUAUAUAUCCCUGUUGUCAUUCCUUUGAAAUUAGAGAUAAUCGAACUGAUAAAGAUGGUUUCAUGGUAUGGAGAAAUCCAUGUUGUUAGUUCAGUUAUAUUUGAUGUAUUGAUAAAACACCAUCUCCAUUGCUUGGGUUUUGAACUGACUAACUCGCAUAAAGUAAUUAAAACCUAGAUAUGCAAAAUUUGAUUUUUACAUAAAUAUGUGUAAAUUGUGUGUGUUCACGAAUUGGGAUUUCACAGACAUUUUUUAAUUUUUUGAGACCUUUUUUUACAAUCGAUGUUACUUAAUGACUACUAUAUUUUUAGGCUUAUGCCUAACUACAUUCGGAUUAAGAUUAUGGUUUUGCUGUUGCAGGCAUUUUGGACCCCGCACCCAAAGAAUGGAGUACAUGCGCCAUUUAUAGUAACAAACUUGCUGAUUAAGGUCUGCACCUAUUUAGUUAAUCGAAUCCUUUAUUUGAAUGCUCUUUGUUCAAACCUAAAUUUGAAGAUAUCUCUUGGUCAUAUUGUAUUAAUGGUGUCAGAAUAUAUAAGAGCUCACCAAUACGCUGUUCGAGAAAACCUUAAGAGGUUACUACAAGUUCAGAGAAA
This 1810-nucleotide long non-coding RNA is filed under the name Aquilegia coerulea. Its description in RNAcentral is "long non-coding RNA (ACOE_LNC000824)". Lineage: Eukaryota; Viridiplantae; Streptophyta; Magnoliopsida; Ranunculales; Ranunculaceae. The record is from RNAcentral.